Molecule: ribosomal RNA, 440 nt
Filed under: uncultured bacterium
Lineage: Bacteria
Description: partial 16S ribosomal RNA
Rfam family: Bacterial small subunit ribosomal RNA
Source: RNAcentral
ACUACGGGUGGCAGCAGUGGGGGAUAUUGCACAAUGGGGGGAACCCUGAUGCAGCGACGCCGCGUGGGUGAAGAAGCGCCUCGGCGCGUAAAGCCCUGUCAGCAGGGAAGAAAAUGACGGUACCUGAAGAAGAAGCCCCGGCUAACUACGUGCCAGCAGCCGCGGUAAUACGUAGGGGGCAAGCGUUAUCCGGAUUUACUGGGUGUAAAGGGGGCGCAGGCGGCGAUGCAAGGCAGGAGUGAAAGCCCGGGGCCCAACCCCGGGACUGCUCUUGGAACUGCGUGGCUGGAGUGCAAGAGGGGCAGGCUGAAUUCCUGGUGUAGCGGUGAAAUGCGUAGAUAGCAGGAGGAACACCGGUGGCGAAGGCGGCCUGCUGGACUGCAACUGACGUUGAGGCCCGAAAGCGUGGGGAGCAAACAGGAUUAGAUACCCCUGUAGUC